Molecule: long non-coding RNA, 2504 nt
Filed under: Gallus gallus (chicken)
Lineage: Eukaryota; Metazoa; Chordata; Aves; Galliformes; Phasianidae
Description: lncRNA (ENSGALG00010017392.1)
Source: RNAcentral
CUUCCCUUCAGCACUGUUUUUUUUUUUUUUUUUUUAAAUCUAUUUCUGCUGUUUGAUGCCCUGUUGUUUGUGUUUUUUUUUCUUCUGCUGCAGUUUAGCUCAUACAGGGUGAUGAAGAUCAUUAUUAUGCAUUACUUUUUCUUUCUUUAAUUUAUGUAUUAGUAUUAAAACAGACUGAAUUAUGCCCGAUCAUAACAAAGAUAUAGGUGCCUGGGCAGAAAAUGUGAUGAAGGAGCUGCUUGCAUCCAUCCUACACUCUGAAGUCCCUGUAGGAUCCUCAGACAUAUUGUGCUUAUUUUAGUUAUAAUACACGUUAGACUGUGAAGAGGACGGGAAGCAAACAGAACUACAUUUCUGGGUCUGCAGGAUUCCUUAAACAAUAGCUCUGAGAAGUGGCAUACUUCUAACCCUUAAGAUGUGCAAUCUGUAUGCAGUAACUGCCAGUGCCCUUAUUAGACAUGCAUCCUGCAGCACCUGUGACCUGCAAGGAAGAUGGCUUGCUCUUCAUGCUGUAAUCUAGUGACUGAUGCUGCCACAGAGCUAGGAGGUGGCUGUACUCUGGCUGUGUGCAAAUAAUCCUGACAGAAGGAGGAGAUGCAGAUUCCAGUGGAGCAGAAAUAGAUCUAUGGCCACCCUCUGGCUGAAAGUGUGGGUGUUACUUCCCUCCUCUGCACAUCUUUCAGUUGAGAUAAAAUGGUGUACCAAAAAUUAACUUAAAAGAUCCCUGUCUCCUCAGCUAAAUAUUUAUGCAAUAAUCCCUAUGGCCUAGAAGGGAAGAAUACACUAGGGAGCACAAGGCUUUUACCUCUGCUUGAAACCCUGGGCUAUCCCAAAUUAUCUGAACUUUGCAGGUGGAAUGGUGGUUUUUACCCUCCCAGGGAAACCAUUUUCACCUGGGCUUGUGACUGUGCUCUACCUCUUUUAACAUAGCAGAAAGGGCAUCUCAGCCUAAAUUUUCUUACUGUGCUUUGAGAUGCCUGUGGAAAUGCCUGUUGUGUUUAUGGGUCUGCCAACAGUAAAAGGAAGAAAAGAUUCUCAUGGUAAGUCUGAAGGUUUGGCUUUCAGACGAAGAAUUAGAAGUAAGAGGCAGCAGGUAAAACAGAUCUCACAUGGACUCCAGCUUAAAUUUAAAGACAAGUUGAUUUACUUAUUUGAUUGGGCUUAAAAUAUCUAACAUAAUUUUGGGAAAAUGAUCAUGGUCUACUAAGUCAGAAGAGCCCAGAAAGCUGGUAAAAUAAAAAUGUCAUGGUGUGGUGAAGGUUGGCUUUCCUCAAAUGAUUUUUUUCUUAAACCUGGGAGAGCCUGGACAUAUGCUGAGGUACUCAGCCUGAUUAAUGCUACUAGGUAUUCACCAGCCUUCACCACAAAAUCCCUUCUCAGACAGUAAUACCAAAUAUUCUUGCUUUUCUAAUUACUUAAAAAUAUAUAUUUGUAGCAUGAUAUAGGAAACAAAUGAUCUUGGAGGUGGUUAUCUGAAUCAUUUUAUUAUAAACACUGAACAAUUAAAUUCAAAGUAUUUAUAGACAUUUGAUUGAACGUUUCAAAUAAAUACAGUUUUUCAUUUGAUGCUUUCUUUUCAGGAGACUAUGUUGAAAUAUCCUUUGUAUCAUAAAAUUUAAUGCUCUGCUUUAGUAGUUUCAAAGCUCAAGUAUUUAUGCUUAUGGAUAGACACAUGUAGACAUAGCAGAAAUUCUGUCCCAAGUGAUUCUGACACAGCACCUCUUUUCCUUUGGCCAUAGCAGGGUUCAGUCAUACUUGGUCCCACUUUGCAUGAGCCCUCAGAGGUCAGUGCUUCAUUUGCAUGAUUUUAAUAACCUGUGCAACCCAGUGAGUUCACACUAUGUAGAACUGGAAAGAGAUUUGUUGGUGUGAAGAUUUCUCACUGCAAGGGCAGAAGGAAUUCAGAGGAGGGAGGGGAAAAAUAUGUUGCAUAUGUGUGCUGUGUAGGAAGUGUAUUUGGGACUAAGGAGAUUCCCUGAGAACAGAAAAGGGAUAAUUCUGAGUAGAUGAAUUAGCAGAACAGAUUUGGAAGCUUGGUCCAGGAAAAAUGUUGGAGCUGGGGAGGGAGGGAUAGAGUAAUAUUGCAACAGUAUUGGAAGAAUCAUCCUCACUGGAAAAGAGGUUGUGGGUUUAUUAUUAUUAUUAUUAUUAUUAUUUUAAUUUUUUUAAUGACUCCAGAUUCUGUUGUGUGCCUCAUGUCUGAAAACAUAGGCUGAUCAAAUUGUGUAGCAGGUUGUUAUCAAGGUCUCACUGUCCACAAUUAGCAACAUCCUAAGCUUUUAUUUUGGUGGAGAUGAUGUUCUGAUCUGGUUUGUGUUCUGCUUUCAGCAAUUGUUACACUUGUUUCUAGGAUUUUAUCCCAUACAAGUUUAAAUACAAGUAAACUUGAGCAGAAAAUGUAUUUUAAUUCAAUAAAUUGUUGAUCUAUUCUUCAAAUAUGUUGGGAUGUUUUACUAAAGAGUCAACCCCGUGUUGCUGUGCAAUACGCAGAAUCCUCGCUGAAC